Molecule: ribosomal RNA, 253 nt
Filed under: uncultured bacterium
Lineage: Bacteria
Description: partial 16S ribosomal RNA
Rfam family: Bacterial small subunit ribosomal RNA
Source: RNAcentral
UACGAAGGGGGCUAGCGUUGCUCGGAAUUACUGGGCGUAAAGCGCACGUAGGCGGUCUUUUAAGUCGGGGGUGAAAUCCUGGAGCUCAACUCCAGAACUGCCUUCGAUACUGGAAGACUUGAGUCCGGGAGAGGUGAGUGGAACUGCGAGUGUAGAGGUGAAAUUCGUAGAUAUUGGGAAGAACACCGGUGGCGAAGGCGGCUCACUGGCUCAUUUCUGACGCUCAGGCGCGACAGCGUGGGGAUCAAACAGG